Molecule: ribosomal RNA, 845 nt
Filed under: Chaetomium cancroideum
Lineage: Eukaryota; Fungi; Ascomycota; Sordariomycetes; Sordariales; Chaetomiaceae
Description: LSU rRNA
Rfam family: Eukaryotic large subunit ribosomal RNA
Source: RNAcentral
AAGAAACCAACAGGGAUUGCCCUAGUAACGGCGAGUGAAGCGGCAACAGCUCAAAUUUGAAAUCUGGCUUCGGCCCGAGUUGUAAUUUGCAGAGGAAGCUUUAGGCGCGGCACCUUCUGAGUCCCCUGGAACGGGGCGCCAUAGAGGGUGAGAGCCCCGUAUAGUUGGAUGCCUAGCCUGUGUAAAGCUCCUUCGACGAGUCGAGUAGUUUGGGAAUGCUGCUCAAAAUGGGAGGUAAAUUUCUUCUAAAGCUAAAUACCGGCCAGAGACCGAUAGCGCACAAGUAGAGUGAUCGAAAGAUGAAAAGCACUUUGAAAAGAGGGUUAAACAGCACGUGAAAUUGUUGAAAGGGAAGCGCUUGUGACCAGACUUGCGCCAGGCUGAUCAUCCGGUGUUCUCACCGGUGCACUCGGCCCGGCACAGGCCAGCAUCGGUUCUCGCGGGGGGAUAAAGGUCUCGGGAACGUAGCUCCUCCGGGAGUGUUAUAGCCCGGGGCGUAAUGCCCUCGCGGGGACCGAGGUUCGCGCAUCUGCAAGGAUGCUGGCGUAAUGGUCAUCAGCGACCCGUCUUGAAACACGGACCAAGGAGUCAAGGUUUUGCGCGAGUGUUUGGGUGUCAAACCCGCACGCGUAAUGAAAGUGAACGUAGGUGAGAGCUUCGGCGCAUCAUCGACCGAUCCUGAUGUUUUCGGAUGGAUUUGAGUAGGAGCGUUAAGCCUUGGACCCGAAAGAUGGUGAACUAUGCUUGGAUAGGGUGAAGCCAGAGGAAACUCUGGUGGAGGCUCGCAGCGGUUCUGACGUGCAAAUCGAUCGUCAAAUCUGAGCAUGGGGCGAAAGACUAAUCGA